RNAcentral lists this ribosomal RNA (253 nucleotides) under uncultured bacterium. RNAcentral describes it as "partial 16S ribosomal RNA". It matches the Rfam family "Bacterial small subunit ribosomal RNA", at positions 524 to 776 of the family's 1533-position model. The record is from RNAcentral.
GACAGAGGGUGCAAACGUUGUUCGGAAUUACUGGGCGUAAAGCGCGUGUAGGCUGCUCUGCAAGUCGGGUGUGAAAGCCCCGGGCUCAACCUGGGAAGUGCACUCGAAACUGCAGAGCUUGAGUUCUGGAGAGGAAGGCGGAAUUCUCGGUGUAGAGGUGAAAUUCGUAGAUAUCGAGAGGAACACCGGUGGCGAAGGCGGCCUUCUGGACAGUGACUGACGCUGAGACGCGAAAGCGUGGGGAGCAAACAGG